This 483-nucleotide ribosomal RNA is filed under the name uncultured bacterium. RNAcentral's name for it is "partial 16S ribosomal RNA". It matches the Rfam family "Bacterial small subunit ribosomal RNA", at positions 28 to 523 of the family's 1533-position model. The record is from RNAcentral.
GACGAACGCUGGCGGCGUGCUUAACACAUGCAAGUCGAACGAUGAAGCUGGAGCUUGCUCCAGUGGAUUAGUGGCGAACGGGUGAGUAACACGUGAGCAAUCUGCCCUUGACUCUGGGAUAACUGCGGGAAACUGUAGCUAAUACCGGAUACGACACCUUGGGGCAUCCCGGGGUGUGGAAAGAAUUUCGGUCAAGGAUGAGCUCGCGGACUAUCAGCUUGUUGGUGAGGGAAAGGCUCACCAAGGCGACGACGGGUCGACGGCCUGGGAGGGUCACCGGCCACACUGGAACUGAGACACGGUCCAGACUCCUACGGGAGGCAGCAGUGGGGAAUAUUGCACAAUGGGCGAAAGCCUGAUGCAGCAACGCCGCGUGAGGGAUGACGGCCUUCGGGUUGUAAACCUCUUUUAGCAGGGAAGAAGCGAAAGUGACGGUACCUGCAGAAAAAGCACCGGCUAACUACGUGCCAGCCGCCGCCGUAA